AGUCGAGCGCGCUCCUCUGGAGCGAGCGGCAAACGGGUGAGUAACGCGUGGGAAUCUACCCAUCUCUACGGAAUAACACAGAGAAAUUUGUGCUAAUACCGUAUACGUCCUAUUGGAGAAAGAUUUAUCGGAGAUGGAUGAGCCCGCGUUGGAUUAGCUAGUUGGUGAGGUAAUGGCUCACCAAGGCGACGAUCCAUAGCUGGUCUGAGAGGAUGAUCAGCCACACUGGGACUGAGACACGGCCCAG
This 247-nucleotide ribosomal RNA is filed under the name uncultured bacterium. RNAcentral describes it as "partial 16S ribosomal RNA". It matches the Rfam family "Bacterial small subunit ribosomal RNA", at positions 60 to 334 of the family's 1533-position model. The record is from RNAcentral.